GCAACUUCAUGAAAAUCACGAGGAUGUGUAGUAUCUGUUCUUAUCAGUUUAAUAUCUGAUACAUCCCUUACCUGGGGACCAUAUAUUAAAUUGAUUUUUGGAGCAGGGAGAUGGAAUAGGGGCUUGCUCCGACCACUCCACGCAUCAACCCAGUAUUGCAGUAUCUCUUGGAGCGGUGCACAAAAA
Small nuclear RNA from Carcharodon carcharias (great white shark), 186 nucleotides. RefSeq annotates it as U2 spliceosomal RNA. NCBI's taxonomy places the organism in Eukaryota, Metazoa, Chordata, Chondrichthyes, Lamniformes, Lamnidae. The transcript has a single exon. The record is from RefSeq and is a predicted model, not a curated record.